UUUACGUUGGUCGUUGCUAACCCGGUCACCUGCAGGAUAGACCUGUGGAAGAGCCGUUAGAGCUCGUAAGUGGCUGGUUAGCGAGUUUAUACCACAAAAAAAACAUUUCAUAGGCUAGAUACCACCUCGGACUUCAGUUCGAGUUGGUCAAACUUUCAUUUACGCUGGGAGCAGAUUCAGAAACCAACGGAACGGCGGAAGGAAGGCAAGGAGAGAUGUCAUACUACUCAUCCCGUAGUUCAUCUCGGGCCACCGACUGCAAAGUGUAUGUGGGUGACCUGGGAAAUGGUGCUGCCAAAGGCGAGCUGGAGCGAGCGUUCAGUUAUUAUGGCCCACUAAGAAGUGUCUGGGUGGCCAGAAACCCACCUGGGUUUGCCUUUGUGGAGUUUGAGGAUCCCAGAGAUGCAGAAGAUGCUGUGAAAGGCAUGGAUGGAAAGGUCCUUUGUGGUUCCCGUGUUCGUGUUGAGAUGUCAACAGGUCUCUCCAGAAAGGGCCGUGGGCGCCCCAGCCGACGCCAGUUUGACCCCAAUGACCGGUGUUACCAGUGCGGGGACCGGGGCCACUAUGCCUACGACUGCUACCGCUUCAGCAAGAGGGGCCGUCGCAGCAGGUCUCGGUCUCGCUCCAGGUCUCGCUCCAGGUCCAGAUCCCGUGGACGCCGCUAUCGCUCUCGCUCCCGCAGCCGAAGCCAUAGUCGGAGCCGCCGCAGAUCUCCAUCCUAUUCCAGACGCAGGAGCAGGUCUGGCUCCCCAGCCCGUUCUAAGUCCAGGACUCCAGUGAGAAGUCGCUCCCGAUCUCGGUCUCGGUCCGGCUCUGCGCCAAGAGGACGCUCUGUCUCCCGAUCCCGUUCACGAUCUCAGUCAGCUAAUCACAAGAGGAACAGCGUGUGGUGGGAGCUGAGCACUGCACUGACACCGCAGCUGAUCCCAGGCCCAGGGUCUGCCAGCUGGCGGUGUGUACGUCCUGCGGGAGGGUGACUAAGAGCUGACCUGAGAUCAGCCUUCGCCUGCAUCUGGUGUUAGACAGCGAGAAAGAGGUCGACCUACCGACCAAACCCUCCCCACAGUGAAUGGGCGACCGUCUGUUCAACCGACGCACACGCUCAGACGAGAUCAGCCCGCGCACACAUACAGUUGUUCUACUAGAGUGGGCCACCCAGCCAGCCAGCCAGCCAGCCAGCCAGCCUUCAGAUGUACCAGAGGGCUGACCCACACAGAUCAGAGUUCGACCACUACCUUUUUUAAUCCAUAACCUACCUACCAGACCCCCCUACCUACCUACCAGAGUUCUUCGGCCUCUGUCUUAGCUUCUGAAAGUGAGAGAAAGAGAGCUGACGAGAGAUCAGUCUUCAAGAGCCUCCCAGCGCAGUGUCUCUCCAAGUUGUAGUCAUCCGUCCUUCAGUCCUUUCAUCCUUCGCUUCUCUGUACUUGUUGUUUCUGCCACUGUCUCCAAAGUCGUUCCCGUUCAGCAAGUCCAAACCGCAGCCCUACGCCAGCAGAUGACUGAGUGAAGAAGACUAUUAGUCCCACCCCCUUCCCCACCCACCCCCACUGUCCUUAACAGACAGACCCUCAGCCCCUGCACCAUGUCUGCUUUUUACAGCCCUACAGCAGCUGAUUUUUUGUACUUGUCUGUCUAGUCUCAGUCGUUAAAGUUUAAUUUUCUCCCAAGGACUGUAGUCUUUUUGCAGCCUCCCAUUGUUUAAGCUUUAGUCAGUAUAGCAGACAGACAUCAGUUUCCAUUGGACAGGGAUUAUUUUAAAUGUUCUUUCAUCUGCUGCCAGAGGUUAUCUUUCUUCUCAGAAGCUAUGUAGCAAGUGUAAGAAGCAACAGUUACAUUAAGGUAACACUGAAUGUUGCAGUUGACUUUUAGCAGUGGUUUGGGCAGCUCAUACAGUAAACUGCAGUUGACGAAAACCCCAUUGAUAGUUGUUGAGGGUGAGGACAUUAUAUCAAAAACUGAUUUUAUUUCCUGUGCUUAAAUUUGUGAACCUGGAGAUAUUUUCCCCCAUUGAGAAUUGGCAUAGAUAUAAUUUUUUGUAUUGCACUCCAGUAUGACUUUUGAGUUCAAAUGCUGUUUGAUGUUUCCACUCAUAAGACAUACUUACUGGCCUGCAUGCCUUUAUAUAUGAUGUCACAUUCCUACUGUUUGUUGUUUCUGUGCUGCACUGCCCUUUUUACAAACCUGAUCAGCUUCACUGUGUGCUGAAUAGAUUUUUCCCCAUGUGUUGAUUUCUGAUUUGUUCCUGUGACUUGAUUUUAAAAUAAAUACUGUGCUCAAGUUUGAUUUCUGUAAGGGCUGCUUGAACAUUUUGGUUCUGUUUCUGGCUUAUAUGGUAAGACAGUGGCAGUUUUAUUUUUGAAUAAACCUCUUCAACAAA
RNA transcript from Seriola dumerili (greater amberjack), 2380 nucleotides. It is a transcript of the gene named serine/arginine-rich splicing factor 7-like, with no coding region annotated. The transcript has 9 exons. The record is from RefSeq and is a predicted model, not a curated record. NCBI's taxonomy places the organism in Eukaryota, Metazoa, Chordata, Actinopteri, Carangiformes, Carangidae.